Molecule: ribosomal RNA, 498 nt
Filed under: uncultured bacterium
Lineage: Bacteria
Description: partial 16S ribosomal RNA
Rfam family: Bacterial small subunit ribosomal RNA
Source: RNAcentral
AUUGAACGCUGGCGGCAUGCCUUACACAUGCAAGUCGAACGGUAACGCGGGGCAACCUGGCGACGAGUGGCGAACGGGUGAGUAAUGCAUCGGAACGUGCCCAGAAGUGGGGGAUAGCCCGGCGAAAGCCGGACUAAUACCGCAUGAGACCUGAGGGUGAAAGCGGGGGAUCGCAAGACCUCGCGCUUUUGGAGCGGCCGAUGUAAGAUUAGCUAGGUGGGGGGGUAAAGGCCUACCAAGGCGACGAUCUGUAGCUGGUCUGAGAGGACGACCAGCCACACUGGGACUGGGACACGGCCCAGACUCCUACGGGAGGCAGCAGUGGGGAAUUUUGGACAAUGGGCGCAAGCCUGAUCCAGCCAUGCCGCGUGCGGGAAGAAGGCCUUCGGGUUGUAAACCGCCUUUGUCAGGGAAGAAACGCUCUGGGCUAAUACCCUGGGGUAAUGACGGUACCUGAAGAAUAAGCACCGGCUAACUACGUGCCAGCCGCCGCCGUAA